Molecule: unclassified non-coding RNA, 2248 nt
Filed under: Hevea brasiliensis (rubber tree)
Lineage: Eukaryota; Viridiplantae; Streptophyta; Magnoliopsida; Malpighiales; Euphorbiaceae
Source: RNAcentral
CAGGAGUUCACCACGUGCCUUGCGACCCGCGAGCGCUAACCAGCAAUUACCUUGUUCAUGGUUGAGGAAGGCAGAAGCAGAGAACAAAAGCAUUGGUUUCAAUCCCUUCCCUUUCUCAAUCCUCAACCAACCUAAUCAUCAAUCCCCGAAAAAGCUCGCCAAAAAUCCAAACUCAAGCAAUGGAUGUUUCAUCUCUUCCAGAAUCUGAACAGCAACAACUCAACCCUCAUUUCCAAGAGCAAGCACAAGCCCCACGAUACCAAAUUCAAGAUUAUUACUAUCAAACGCAGGGCCAAUCCUAUGACCACUCUUAUUACUCAUAUUACCAGGAAUACCCACCUCAAAAUCAAUGGCAAUAUGACCGGCAACCGCAAAACUACGCUUAUUACCGACCCGAUUACUCGGCUGCCUAUCAGCAACCGCUAUAUCAUCAGCAUGAGUCCGCACCAGGGGUUUCAGCACCACACGAAGCAGCGCAAAUUGUGGAUUCUGGUGGGACUGGAUUAUCGUUGCAGGCGGCGCAGCAGCAGAGGUAUUAUCCUCCCCAUCAGAGUUCGGUAAGUGUGGUGGUGCAGCCGGGGAUGAAUCCAGCAGCCGCUGUGGCGAUCGCGGCGCUGGAGCAGCUGACACAGUUCGCGGGGUCGAUGGAUGCGGCGGAGAGGGCAAUGGCCGGGUUGCCCACUAAGAGUCCUGUCUUUGGGCCCGUUCCCAUGCAUUCUCUGUAAAUUUUGCAGGAUGUUCGACAUCCACACAAGCGUGGUAGUAGAAGGGGAGGUGGACCAUUCCGAGGGGGUGGCCAGGGAAAUGUUGGCCACCACCAUGGUUCUGUCCCUUCUGUCCGUGGAAAGGGGCAUGGUCGGGGUAAGGCUCGAUCUAAGCGCUUCCAAAUACAAGGUGUGAAUUCAACAUCUUCCCAUACAGAACCUUCUGCUGCCAAGGAGCACACAGCUGAUGUGGCCAAAAAGGUAGCUGAAUCUGCUUCUGCACCAGAAAACGUAGCUCCUAACUGUCGACCUGUACAGCUUGCUUGGUGUGAACUUUGUAGGGUAGAUUGUUCUGGUUUGGAAAUUCUUGAGCAGCACAAAAAUGGAAAGAAACAUAAAAAGAACUUGCUAAGGUAUCAAGAGAUGAAAAAUGCUAUCGAACCAGCAGAAGAAAUACAGAAUCCUCAGGAACCUAUAAAUGAUUCAAAGCCUGAAGAGUCUCAGCAGCCUCCAUUUGCAGAGGAUGGUGAAGAGCAGAAGUUGGCAGAAAACUUGCCCUCUGAAGCUGGAAGCAUUGAACAUAGAAUGGAGAACAGUUGCAACAAUGAACACAGAAUGGAGAAUAAUCUGCAAAAUAAUGCUGGGGAAAAACCUCAAGUUCCUGCGGGGGAACCAUCUGAUCAGCAAGGAAGGAAGUUUAGGAUGAAUUUGUUUGAUAAUAGGAGACAUGGAAUGAAACGCAAAAUGAAGGGUGGUCAGGGAGGGAAGCGUAUAAAGACUUUUGAAGCUAGAAGAGCAGUGGAACCUCCCAAACCUAAAAUUGUAGCUCCGCAAUUAUGUGAUUUGUGCAAUGUCAAGUGUGACACACGUGAGGUUCUUGACCGCCAUCUUUCUGGUAAGAAGCAUAUUGCUAAGCUUAAACGAUUUCAAGGUCAUCAGGCAAUGUAUGGGCCAACAGGGCUUCAGGCACUUUACCCCCCUAAUCCAAUUGCAAAAACUCAUUCCCUCCCUCAAGUCCAUCAACCUUUCUACAAUCCUCAGGGCGCAUUUCUCCCACAAGGGGCUUAUUUUCCUUCCCAAGGAUACCAAUCUGCAUCAGCAGCUGCAGGUUUGAAUCCUCAAUUCUCGCAAAGUUCCAUGCCUCAACAGUCAGAAUCCACUUCAACUCUUUGAGGCAAAUCCUGCAACAGCUGUCUGAGAAUCUGGAGGCUAUGGAUCAGAUCCUCCCCUCAUUAGCAUCACAUAUCUAACUUAGUAUGUUUCUGGGAAUAGAUUUGCUGCCAUUUACUGUCAAUAUGGAGUCUCCUCUACUGAUGUUACUUGCAUUGAAGUCGUGAAGUUAACAUGGCUCAGUAGCAAUGAAUUUCACUUUCCACUAGUUCUCUUUAUCGACUCUAAGAAAGUUUUUGUUUCUGCUUUUGAAAAUAUAUUGAUAUUUUUAUAUAUUGAUAUCAUCUUAUACUGCAAUCUUAUACCAAAGGAUUGAGAGAAUGUUUGCAGGUCAGGGACAUGUAAGAACUGGGGAAAAAAUUGAAAAAGUUUCA